UGGGGAAUAUUGGACAAUGGGCGGAAGCCUGAUCCAGCAAUGCCGCGUGUGUGAAGAAGGCCUGCGGGUUGUAAAGCACUUUCGGUGGGGAGGAGAGGCCCCGGGCUAAUAUCCCGGGGAAGAGACGUUACCCACAGAAGAAGCACCGGCUAACUCUGUGCCAGCAGCCGCGGUAAUACAGAGGGUGCGAGCGUUAAUCGGAAUUACUGGGCGUAAAGGGUGCGUAGGUGGUUUGAUAAGUUAGGUGUGAAAGUCCUGGGCUUAACCUGGGGAUUGCGCCUAAUACUGUUGAGCUAGAGUACUGUAGAGGAAGGUGGAAUUUCCGGUGUAGCGGUGAAAUGCGUAGAUAUCGGAAGGAACAUCAGUGGCGAAGGCGACUUUCUGGACAGAUACUGACACUGAGGCACGAAAGCGUGGGGAGCAAACAG
Molecule: ribosomal RNA, 428 nt
Filed under: uncultured bacterium
Lineage: Bacteria
Description: bacterial SSU rRNA
Rfam family: Bacterial small subunit ribosomal RNA
Source: RNAcentral